Dendrobium catenatum is the source of this 377-nucleotide long non-coding RNA. RefSeq lists it as uncharacterized. Lineage: Eukaryota; Viridiplantae; Streptophyta; Magnoliopsida; Asparagales; Orchidaceae. The record is from RefSeq and is a predicted model, not a curated record. The transcript has 6 exons.
UUCAGAAAUCUAAGCGGACUUUGGAUGAUACUCUUGGGACAAAAAGUCCUAGUGGUAAGAGGCAGCGGCUUCUUGCAAUGGAAAAGACUGAUGCAGUGAUGGUGAAAACUUCGAGCAACAAAGGCAAGAAGUCUCGUGGAAAGAGUGGGACAGGAUCUAAAACUGCAGCCAUGAAAAAGCGGUCUCAGAUGCAGGCCAAAUUUGGAAUGGUGUAGAGUGACAAGUUGCACUGUUGAACUAGUUCAUAAUUCAGGAAGUGGAUGACUGGAGUGAUGAUAUUUCAAGUGAAUCGCAGGUUCAUUUCGAUAGUCAUUGACUUAUCAAAUAGAGAACCUUAAUAUUAUAUUGCUUACAUUCUUCAAGGUUUUGAUGAAGAA